Molecule: ribosomal RNA, 372 nt
Filed under: uncultured bacterium
Lineage: Bacteria
Description: bacterial SSU rRNA
Rfam family: Bacterial small subunit ribosomal RNA
Source: RNAcentral
GAUGAACGCUAGCGGCAGGCUUAAUACAUGCAAGUCGAGGGGCAGCAGGUUUGUAGCAAUACAGAUGCUGGCGACCGGCAAACGGGUGCGGAACACGUACACAACCUUCCUUUAAGUGGGGAAUAGCCCAGAGAAAUUUGGAUUAAUACCCCGUAAUAUUAUGAUGUGGCAUCACAUUAUAAUUAUAGCUCCGGCGCUUAAUGAUGGGUGUGCGGCNGAUUAGGUAGUUGGCGGGGUAACGGCCCACCAAGCCUGCGAUCAGUAACUGGUGUGAGAGCACGACCAGUCACACGGGCACUGAGACACGGCCCGACUCCUACGGGAGGCAGCAGUAAGGAAUAUUGGGCAAUGGAGGCAACUCUGACCCAGCCA